Molecule: ribosomal RNA, 467 nt
Filed under: uncultured bacterium
Lineage: Bacteria
Description: partial 16S ribosomal RNA
Rfam family: Bacterial small subunit ribosomal RNA
Source: RNAcentral
GAUGAACGCUGGCGGCGUGCUUAACACAUGCAAGUCGAACGGAAAGGCCCAAGCUUGCUUGGGUACUCGAGUGGCGAACGGGUGAGUAACACGUGGGUGAUCUGCCCUGCACUUCGGGAUAAGCCUGGGAAACUGGGUCUAAUACCGGAGAGGACCACUUCUUGGAUGUUGUGGUGGAAAGUUUUUUCGGUGUGGGAUGAGCUCGCGGCCUAUCAGCUUGUUGGUGGGGUAAUGGCCUACCAAGGCGUCGACGGGUAGCCGGACUGAGAGGGUGUACGGCGACAUUGGGACUGAGAUACGGCACAGACUCCUACGGGAGGCAGCAGUGGGGAAUAUUGCACCAUGGGCGCCAGCCUGAUGCAGAGAGGCCGCGUGGGGGAUGACGGCCUUCGGGUUGUAAACUCCUUUCGCUAGGGACGAAGCGUUUUGUGACGGUACCUGGAGAAGAAGCACCGGCUAACUACGUG